RNAcentral lists this ribosomal RNA (497 nucleotides) under uncultured bacterium. Its description in RNAcentral is "partial 16S ribosomal RNA". It matches the Rfam family "Bacterial small subunit ribosomal RNA", at positions 28 to 507 of the family's 1533-position model. The record is from RNAcentral.
GAUGAACGCUGGCGGCGUGCCUAAUACAUGCAAGUCGAGCGAACGGACGAGAAGCUUGCUUCUCUGAUGUUAGCGGCGGACGGGUGAGUAACACGUGGAUAACCUACCUAUAAGACUGGGAUAACUUCGGGAAACCGGAGCUAAUACCGGAUAAUAUUUUGAACCGCAUGGUUCAAAAGUGAAAGACGGUCUUGCUGUCACUUAUAGAUGGAUCCGCGCUGCAUUAGCUAGUUGGUAAGGUAACGGCUUACCAAGGCGACGAUGCAUAGCCGACCUGAGAGGGUGAUCAGCCACACUGGAACUGAGACACGGUCCAGACUCCUACGGGAGGCAGCAGUAGGGAAUCUUCCGCAAUGGGCGAAAGCCUGACGGAGCAACGCCGCGUGAGUGAUGAAGGUCUUCGGAUCGUAAAACUCUGUUAUUAGGGAAGAACAUAUGUGUAAGUAACUGUGCACAUCUUGACGGUACCUAAUCAGAAAGCCACGGCUAACUACGUG